AUACGGAGGGCGCAAGCGUUGUUCGGAAUCAUUGGGCGUAAAGCGCGUGUAGGCGGCUUGGCAAGUCGGGUGUGAAAUCCCGGGGCUCAACCCCGGAACUGCAUUCGAAACUGCCUCGCUGGAGUCCCGGAGAGGAGAGCGGAAUUCCCGGUGUAGAGGUGAAAUUCGUAGAUAUCGGGAGGAACACCAGCGGCGAAGGCGGCUCUCUGGACGGUGACUGACGCUGAGACGCGAAAGCGUGGGGAGCAAACAGGAUUAGAAACCCCAGUAGUCC
Molecule: ribosomal RNA, 274 nt
Filed under: uncultured bacterium
Lineage: Bacteria
Description: partial 16S ribosomal RNA
Rfam family: Bacterial small subunit ribosomal RNA
Source: RNAcentral